Molecule: long non-coding RNA, 649 nt
Organism: Thamnophis elegans (Western terrestrial garter snake)
Lineage: Eukaryota; Metazoa; Chordata; Lepidosauria; Squamata; Natricidae
Exons: 3
Source: RefSeq, a predicted model, not a curated record
GGGAUUCGAACUGCCGACCUUUCUGAUCAACAAGCAUCUUAGCCACUGUGUCCCUUUAUCCUACCUUCUUCUAAAACCUGCUGCUGAAACUCUUAUAACACUUGGCCACAGAUUUAAGCCAGUGAUCUCCACCCGAAUCUUUGCUCUAAACAAAUAAUUACAUUACUCCAUCUUUUUAAAGUUGCUGUUACCGAAUUAUAAGCAAACACAUCUGCCACCCGCUUAGAGAUCAAGGUUUCAAAGACCGAGUAAAUGGAAUGCAUCAGAAAAAUCAAAAGGAUUGUAUUGAAAUGGGACACAGAAAAUGCGCUAUCAAAAAGUAGGAUAAAAUCCAAGCUUCCGAGGGGUGGAGCUGAGGUCAACUCAGAAGGACAAAAUGCAUUCAAGAGGCCACCACUAGCAUAGCCAAAGGAACGGGACCCACUGCCCUGAAGCAAAAUGGUGUGGAUAUGUCUGUGAGAGGGGAAAACAUUGGAAGGAGGAGAGAUUUUACACAUGUUCUGCAAAGAUAAUAUGCAAUGUGGGAGUUAAUACUCAGAAGACAGGUGGAAGAAUUAUCCAGCAACUGCCAAGGACAUCAAGGCAAGCAUUACAAGAUGUUUUAAAAGUCAUGGCCCCAAGAUCAUAGAUUCAGUCCACAAAAUUUUAU